GUCUUUAAGAUUUUAAUUUAAAGUCCAAUCUGCCCAAUGAAUUUAUUUUUAAAUGGCUGCAGAAUUUAACUGUACUAAGGUAGCAUAAUAAAUUGUUUUUUAAUUUAAAACUAGAAUAAAAGAUUAAAUGAAAUAUAAACUGUUUCAAUUAAUUUUCUAUUAAAUUUUUUAUUUAAGUAAAAAAACUUAAAUAAUUUUUAAAGACGACAAGACCCUAUAGAAUUUUAUUUAUAUAUUUUUUUUAAAAAUAUAUAAAUUUUAUUGGGGUAAUAAAAAAAUUAAAUUAAUUUUUUUUUAAAAAAAACAAUUAUAAAUGAACAAAUUAUCUUAAUUUUUAAAUUAAAAAAAUUAAUUACCUUAGGGAUAACAGCAUAAUUUUUUUUAAAAGAUCUUAUUAAUAAAAAAGUUUAU
Molecule: ribosomal RNA, 411 nt
Filed under: Sylvibracon sp.
Lineage: Eukaryota; Metazoa; Arthropoda; Insecta; Hymenoptera; Braconidae
Description: partial 16S ribosomal RNA
Source: RNAcentral